UUUUUUUUUUUCUUUUUUGGUAAACUUUAAAUAUCGCAUAUGUAAUUUUAUACUUUCUCACUGUAAUAUUUUAUAAUUUAAAGUGUAUCAAGUUAGUGUCCUGUGAUUUUAUUUUUAUCCUUUCGUCAGCUUUUUCGUUAAUAUUUUGUCAAAUUAUAUACAAAAAACUUCAGAUAUCUCACCUAAGUUUAUCGAAUAUUCACUUUAGUACCAUUUAGUUUUAACUUUGUCACUAAUUUAACGAAAAAAAUUAGUGAAAUCGAUAAUAAAAAGAUGAAAAGAAAACCAUAGGACACUAAAGUGAAAAAAUGUGAAACUACACAAGUGGUAUUUUAAGUUUUUUCUUAUUUUUUUGGGGCUCAGAUGAAGUAAUUUUUGGACACAAAUAUUCAUAUUUAUCAUUAGGAGUCCGGCUGGGAUACUAUCGAUAGCACCAUGCAUUUGGUGCUAUCAAGUUUUUUACCGUUAGAUUUAAUUCUUUGACUAUUUUCACCCGUUAGAUUAUACUAUUAAACCAACAACUCACUCAACCCUAGAGGGCCCACAUCAUCUUAACCGUACAUUUUUUAAUCCAAAGACCGAAAACCUAAUAGCACCAAAUGCUUGGUGCUAUUGAUAGUAUUCCGGCCUAAGUCUUAUCAUUACUCAUUAGACUUAUCCUAACUUUAUUUUUAUUAAAAUUUAAAUAACAAAAUAAUAAUUUAUUUAUCAUAUUUUUGAUUUUUAUAUUGUUUAUUUUUUUAUCAAAUAAAUAAUAAAAUCAAAAAAAUUGCAGCUCAACUGCUAAAUAAAUAAAUAGUGAAAGAAGAAAGAUAAUAAGAGUCUAUUUUAAUCUGAAUUUCAUUUUUGAUGAAACAAACAGAAUUUUAACUUCAUAAAAAAUUAAAAAAAAAAUUGUAUGCAGACCUCAACUGUAGCUCGUGUUCAAAUAAUGUCCUCAACUUUAAUUUUAUUUUCAAACUGUUUUGGUUAUUUAAUUAUAAAGGUUGUUAAAAUUCAUAAUUGUAUAAGUUGUCAUUAUUUCAAUUAUAUUUGCUAAAAUAUAAUUUAAGUUUAGUAAUAUUUUAUAUUUCUGACUAAAUUCAAGUUAAAGGAGUCCCAAUUAAAAAUUGAGGCAAUCAUAUUUUGACCUAAAGUUGUCGGUGUACUUUUAACAAAACAUUACUUAUACAUUUCUAGAAGGAGGUGUACGAUUUACACUUCUCAAUCCAAAAAUUGUAUAAAUUUUAAAAAUUUUAGGUUUUCAUUAAAAAAAAAUGGAUAAGAUUAAAGUCAUUUUUAGCCCUCCAAUAAAGAAGAUGUAAGAUUUAUACUUCUCUUUAAGUGUAUCUAUAGUAUUACUCGUCUGUUUAUAUUUAACUCAAAUAAAAAAAUAAAAUUAUAUAAUAAUCCCUGAUCUAUUUGCUAUUUUAAAAAAGGUCACGGACUUUAUUCUGAAUGGACACCUGUCCGUUUUUAUUGUUUUGGAUUCAAGUUGUUUUAAUUAAUUUUAGAAAUUUUGCCAAACGAAUUUAUCAAAAGAAAAUGAAAUUUAAGGCCUCUUUUAAAGAAUCUGCAGUUAAAGAAAAUCUAUAUUCUAUAGCAUAUAUGUGAAUUAAAAUCUUUUCAACUUGUAUAAAAGCGCAAGAAUUCCAAAGUAUUUCUAGCAUAUUUUUAGCUAAUAAUAUUUAAAUAAUUUAUAAAUACUAACUGUUAUUAUCAUUUAAUUUAACAACUUUUUAACCGUAUUAACAAAAAUAAAUUUGAAUAAAAAAAUUAAAAGUUAAGGCCAUGUUCGAUGUUGUCGUCAUUUUUUUCACUUUUUUCAAAAUAACUUAUAUAUAAUAUUCAAGUUGUUUAUUUGGCAACAAAUAAUUAAAAUUUAAAAUAUUUAUAUUUAUUUUUAUAAUAUUUUAAAAUAUUUAUUAUUUAUUAUUUAAUUGGGAUGUGUAAUGUGUUGUAAGCUGAUCGAUAAUAAUAUUACUAAGAAAAAAUAAAUUCUCCAGUCACACUUUAAAUUAUUUAUAUAAUAAAGAUUUAAAAAAUAAAAAGACUGACCGUUCUUAAAGCAAGUGGCAAAGAGCUUGGUGGUUGGUACCCAAGACCCACGUUCGAAUCCUUGUUAAUUUAUAUUUCCAGCUAAGUUUAUUUUUAAAUGAAAUAAACGAAGCGGUUAGCAUGUUAUCUAUUUCUCUCAAAAAAAAAAAAAAUAAUGAUAGUGACAUACGGGAUGAGACCGAAAAGUAAGGUAACACAGAGGGACCUGUUUCGAAACAGUUUAUCGUUGAGGGGGGUAUCAGUACAUUUCUACCUAACAAAAAGCCACUAGCGGUGGGAGCCUAAAAAUCCGACCGUCGCAGUAAUUUGUCGGGACUCGGAACCAACGGCGGAGAUCGUACCAUAUAGCAAGCUGUGAUUGGUUAGCAGGUCACAUCUCGAGAGCUCGCGCUCUCUAAGGCCGCCACGUUUCACCCCACCCGAGUCCAACACCCACCCUAUAUAUAUUCUAUAUUGUUUUUGGGGCGCUUAAAUACCCCCGAAGCACCUCCCCACAAACGCCGCUGUGAGACGACACCUGUCCCUUCCCCCUCUCUCUCUCUCUCUCCAACGCCGAGAUCCGCACCAGAAUUCGGAGCGGAGCAGAGCGAAAAAAGCAAAAAAAAAAAAGAAGAAAAAACUGCUCCCAUCUACUACGCACCAAAACAGGUCACCCUCUUUUCUCUCUCUCUCUCCCCCUCUGUUGUAAUUAAUCGACAGCAAAAUUACCGAAUUAUUACUAUUUCUCAACGAAUUAAAGCUGAGCAUGUGUUGAUUAAGCUUGAUGAUUAGGGGUAAAGUAAUAGAAGGAUUUAAUUAGUUCUAUUUUUAGUAAGAAAAGUUUGUCCUGGAUUUUAGCUAAGCUGCUCGGGUAAGCGUGCUAUUUGUUGCAAAUUAAGGAUAACUGCUUAAACUGUAUGGUAUGUGUGGGGGGUUGUUUUGUUUCCUGCUCGUUUGUGGGAGUACGGCCGGGGAGGAGGAUGAGAUUAAUCAGGGGUUUCUGGGGCUGAAUUCGUGUUAGNGCGUGCUGUUUUUUUUCUUAAAAAAAUAAAAGUGGCAUUGUUCGAAGAAAGGAGCGGAAGGAAGCGCAGCAAAGGGAAAGAGACGAAAGGGAGCGGAAGAAUGAGGUAGGGAUGCGGCGCGAAGAAUGAAAUAUUUUUUUUUAAAAAAAGUUUAACCAGUUUUUUCACUCGAAAAUUACUGUUCAACUAAAAAGAAAUGGUCUAUUAUUUUAUAUUACAACUUUGUCUAACAAGCUUCAUCCUUUCAAUAGUUUAAAUUUUUAAAUUUCAAUAUAAAAUAGUAAUAAAAUUAGUUAAAGGAAUUUAUAUUCUGUUUAUAGAUGCGCAACUAGUGCUGCUAUUUUUAGAAAUCAAAAUGUUUCCGUUCUUACGUGCUUCGUCAAAUGUACGACCCGUAAACCUCUCGACAUUGUGCGUUUUGACGAUUAAGGCAAGUGUGGUCCCAUUCCCAACAUCCCGCGUGCAUGCGCUCUCGUGUUCUCACCAUUUUUCGUAAAAAAAAUAUUUUUCCUAUCAAUAAGUUAUAAUAAAGCAUCUUACAAAUUGUAAAAUUUAAUAAUUAAAUUUUAAUCUUAAAAUUCCAAAUUUUAUUUUCUUAUUAAAUUAAAUAUUAAAUACUAUUUAAUUUAUAUUUAUAUUUUAUUUUUUAAGCUAUCGUCCGCGCCCAAAACUCGGGGAGUCCGUUCCAAUCAAUACGACUACGAACUGAUAAUAAUAAUAAUAAUAAUAAUUAAAAUUAAUAAUUGGUAAUAAAUAAAUGGGGCAUCUUUAUCCCCACCCUAUCACAAAGUCGAAGUCACAUCAUUGUUUCAAUAGCAAAUUUUGCACCCUCUUACUCUAACUCCACCCAGUUAAAAUGUACCCAAAAGGAGACCUUCGAAUCCCACGACGCCACGACCACAAUGUCUACACAUGCCGAGACUUUCUUUUUCGUGAGCACGCACUCUUAUCCUUUCGCUUUGCUCACCUCACCCACCCGCUUUUCCGUGUGAUUUACUUUUUUUUUUUUUUCUUUUUUGGUAAACUUUAAAUAUCGUACAUGUAAUUUUACACUUUUUUACUGUAAUAUUUUAUAAUUUAAAAUGUAUCGAGUUAGUGUCCUGUAAUUUUAUUUUUAUUUUUUCGUCAGCUUUUUUCGUUAAUAUUUUGUUAAAUUAUAUACAAAAAACUUCAGAUAUCUUACCUAAGUUUAUCGAAUAUUCACUUUAGUACCAUUUAGUUUUAACUUUAUCACUAAUUUAACGAAAAAAUUUAGUAAAAUCGAUAAUAAAAAGAUGAAAAGAAAACCAUAGGACACUAAAGUGAAAAAAAUGUGAAACUACACAAGUGGUAUUUUAAGUUUUUUCUUGUUUUUUUGGGCUCAGAUGAAGUAAUUUUUGGGCAUAAAUAUUUAUAUUUAUCAUUAGGAGUCCGGCUGGGAUACUAUCGAUAGCACCAUGCAUUUGGUGCUAUCAAGUUUUUCACCGUUAGAUUUAAUUCUUUGACUAUUUUCACCCGUUAGAUUAUACUAUUAAACCAACAACUCACUCAACCCUAGAGGGCCCACAUCAUCUUAACCGUACAUAUUUUAAUCCAAGAACCGAAAACCUAAUAGCACCAAAUGCUUGGUGCUAUUGAUAGUAUUCCGGCCUAAGUCUUAUCAUUACUCAUUAGACUUGUCCUAACUUUAUUUUUAUUAAAAUUUAAAUAACAAAAUAAUAAUUUAUUUAUCAUAUUUUUUAUUUUUAUAUUGUUUAUUUUUUUAUCAAAUAAAUAAUAAAAUCAAAAAAUUUGCAGCUCAAC
RNAcentral lists this long non-coding RNA (4820 nucleotides) under Ananas comosus (pineapple). RNAcentral's name for it is "long non-coding RNA (ACOM_LNC004212)". Lineage: Eukaryota; Viridiplantae; Streptophyta; Magnoliopsida; Poales; Bromeliaceae. The record is from RNAcentral.